AGGAACACCAGACCUGGGCGCAGGGCAAGCACCUACCACAGCCAUCCUCUCCACGUGGAGGUCAGCUGGCGGAGACCCAGGCCACUUCGGGGCCAGCGCUGCUACAGACACGCUUGGAAUCUGGCACUUCAUCUGGUAUCAAGGAAUCCUGAUCUUUUAUGACAUCAGUUAGCUCCUCUCUGGCUGUAUUGGCAUCACACACAUCGACGGGGGCUGAUCUGUCUGGCUCUUCGCCAUCACGAGAACCAUCACUCCAGCGGCUCUCCAGCAGGUGUGCCAAGGCCACAGGCCGUGGAGAUUUCUUGUCAGCAGCGUCCACGUCCUGGAAAGUCAUGGAAUCCAGCAAACAGCUCAGUUUUUCCUGGAGUUGUUUCACCUGAGCUAUGAGGUCAACCUUCGGCAGCUGACAAUCUUCCGGCGCCUUUUCCCGACUCUGCAGAUUUUCAAUCGUGGCUUUCAGCUCCUCAAUGUCAGAGCUUCUGGUAUAUGUGACCUGAAGAGAGAGCACAAUUCAGAGGUAAAUUAACUGUAACCACUUCAGAAUAUCCCUCGUUCAGGACACUUUACAUUCCUGGAGUGGAGACGCCACAGCUUGAGAAACAAAGCAGUCACGGACGCAAACUGUCAGCAUCUGAACUCACCACCUCCGCCUCGCUGCUACGGGGCCCUGGUGCCCACCUCAUGCUCCAGACUGAUCGUGGGAUGAAACUCUAAUGCGGCCACUUUCCCUACAAGGACGUCUACAGAAUGAGGCUUUCACCAUCCUUUAAAUGUGAUUUUGUUAAUAUUUAAACAACAUUUUGUUUAACUUUCCCGAAGGAACCUUAGAUUUUAGGUGUCAUUCUAACAUCAAAGUUCGUUUACUUGUGAUGCAAACAUAAUCCUCAGCCACUGUAAGGAAAUAUGAUUGUUUCCACUUUAAAGGGAUGAAAAUUGAAACUAAGAUAUUAAACAUCUUUCUAAACCCACAAAAAUAGUAAGUGCAAAAUCAGGAUUGAGAUCUAUGUCAAUACAGCUCGGAACUCUAUUUUCUUGAGAUAACAUUACUGGCAACGACAAAAAAAUAGAAAAAUUCUAACCCAUUUGUGUUCUAACAACUUUAAAACAAUCUGUUAGAGCCUGCAGGAGGUUCCUGACGCCCUCUCUGCAGAGGAUACUACGAAGCCAGAGGCAGCCAUCUCUGAAACGGGAGGUUGGUACAGACUUUACAUUGGUUCCUCCACCCACUCCUGAGCCUUCCACUCCGUCUGUGACUGCUUGUGAUGAUUUAAUGCGUGAAUUACAAACUAUUCGCUGGCAAAGCUCAGCUAUAUCCUCAAUGCAACCACCGUCGUGGCCUGAACCUUCUUCUCUCUCAGCCUUGCUGUAGGGCUCCCAAUCAUCCACCUAAUCAGCCCAGUAAUGAGGCUCUCAACCCUAUCCCUGUUCAGCCAGGCUGUCAGGCUCUCAAGUCUGUCCUGCCUCUUCUUUCCAUGCAUCAGGCUCCUCGGAAGCCUGCUCUGCAGUCCAUCGGUCAGCCAGUGUUCAGGCCCUGGAAAGACCUGCACUGCAGGUAGCUGGUUCACAGCCUGGUCCACGGGCCCUGGAAGGACCUGUACCGCGGGCAGCCGCAUGGCAGCCUACUCCACGGGCCCUGGAAGGACCUGCACCGGGUAGCCACAUGGCAGCCUACUCCACGGGCCCUGGAAGGACCUGCACCGCGGGCAGCCACAUGGCAGCCUACUCCACGGGCCCUGGAAGGACCUGCACCGCGGGCAGCCGUGUGGCAGCCUACUCCACGGGCCCUGGAAGGACCUGCACCGGGUAGCCACAUGGCAGCCUACUCCACGGGCCCUGGAAGGACCUGCACCGGGUAGCCACAUGGCAUCCUACUCCACGGGCCCUGGAAGGACCUGCACCGCGGGCAGCCGUGUGGCAGCCUGGUCCACGGGCCCUGGAAGGACCUGCACCGCGGGCAGCCACGGCUUGCAGGCUCUCAACCUUUCCUCUCAUCGUCCCAAUUUCCCUUCUGUUUCUGGUCUGGCCACAACUGCGGUUCACUCCCAAAAACAACAUGUCACAUACAUUGGCGAGGAUGAUAGGCCACUUACGAGAGUGAUUCCUCAAGCCCGUGAACAUGGUGAUUCUGAGGCACGGCACCUUCCAGUAGUUUUACAGCCCCCUAUGCCUGCCACUCCAGUCCCUGCACCCCCUGGCAUUAAUCCAGCUGCCGCUCUUGCUCAACAAGCCAAUAGUAUUGCCACGCCUCAGGACACACAACCUAAAGCUGGGGCGCUGAUGCCUGCGCCUCGGCAGCCUGCUGCCGCUGUACUGCUGCUCCUGGUAUUCCUGCCCUACAGACUACUGUCCAGCCAGAUCCUCUCAAUCCAGGCCAGCUUCAGUUGUGUGUGGCAAAUUUGAAAAGCUUUUCUUUCAAAUUUCUUAAAGAUCUUAAAGAAGCAGUCAAACAAUGUGGCACUAAUUCUUUUUGUCCACUCCACUCUAAAAGCUUUGGCAGAGGAUAAACGUCUGGUACCAUGUGAUUGGGACUGUCUCGGCAAAGCGGUCUGAACACAAUCUCAGUAUCUGCAGUUUAGAGACUGGUGGGUCGAUGCUGUUCAGGAGCAUGUCCGUAGAAACCAGGGAGUUAAUCCUCCUAUCAACAUCUCAGAGAAUCAGGGUCCUGUCUGGGUGCCUUAACUGUGUCCUGGCCCCAAGCCCAAAGACUCUCCGGAAGCAAGUCGCCCCUCCAACACGCAGACUUCAGAAUCUGACCAUCUCAUCACCGCCUCACCCUCUGAUUCCUAAUACUACAAAUUCCAGACUACCCUCGUGGGGUCAAAUUAAGACCAUGUCUGACUAGGUAGAAAAAUUUUUGCAGGAGAAAGGAAUUCCAAGAACUACUCAUAAUCUUAUCUUAGCCGCUUUUAUGGGUGGUCACGGGCGUUAAGUAUACUCGGCUCGUGGUCCUUUUCCCCAGCUAAUUCGACCUAUUUCGUGGCUGGACUCCUCGGUGGAGGUCUAUUCUAAUAACAGUGCCUUCAUGCCAGCCCCUAAUAACAGAUUCCCUGCUUAACCAGAAGAAGAAGGAAUGAUCUUUCAUUUGUCUAUUGGGUAUAAAUUUCAACCACUGUGUACAGGAAAUGCUCCUGGGUGCUUAAAGUUUGCUAACCAAAAUUGGAUGUGGACGGUGCCAUCUGCAAGUAACACCUCCUGUCAAGUACACGAUGUGUUUAGCAGCAAUUCCUUUCAGGCCAUGAUCUCCAGACUUAACUCCCAGCAGGCUUACACAGUUCCCAUCACUACUGAAAAUAAUAAAACCAAAGGCCUGUUACACUGCCCGAAAAGGGAUACUGAAGGGCCUUUUAAAUUUAAUGGCAUUCAAUGGAAAAACUGCAAUGCCCCCAAAGCAGUGCUUUUAUAAAAAGCUAAAACCAGAGUUAUUAUUGAUUGGGCCCCAAAAAGAUAUUACUGGCCCAACUGUACUGGCCAAAAUGCCCAGUGUUCUAAAUAUAAUUAUUUGCUGGAUUAUGCUGAGGGGGAUGGCAGUCAUUCAGAAGGAGGGAGUGGCUGUCUCCUUAUCCAUUCAAGUGGGUAAAGGCAGUGUUUCUCCCGACCAAAGAUGAGCUACCCUUCUGUUAUCCCAGAGCAUCUGGAAUUAUGGAAAUGGCUGCUGCUAUUACUGAAAUCAGAUUCUGGAAUACUCCUUAUCAAAAAGCCCUUAAUGCUAGGGCUGGAAUUACAACCCACAAAAUUAACUUGCUAUCUGAAAAGGUAGUUCCUGUAAGAAGCUGUGUUAAACCACCUUAUAUGCUAUU
Callithrix jacchus (white-tufted-ear marmoset) is the source of this 3797-nucleotide long non-coding RNA. RefSeq lists it as uncharacterized. Lineage: Eukaryota; Metazoa; Chordata; Mammalia; Primates; Cebidae. The record is from RefSeq and is a predicted model, not a curated record.